RNAcentral lists this transfer RNA (77 nucleotides) under Gammaproteobacteria bacterium. RNAcentral describes it as "tRNA-Arg". It matches the Rfam family "tRNA". Rfam says of the family: Transfer RNA (tRNA) molecules are approximately 80 nucleotides in length. Their secondary structure includes four short double-helical elements and three loops (D, anti-codon, and T loops). The record is from RNAcentral. RNAcentral also lists the same sequence under 3 other names. Lineage: Bacteria; Pseudomonadati; Pseudomonadota; Gammaproteobacteria.
GCGCCCUUAGCUCAGUUGGAUAGAGCGUUGGCCUCCGGAGCCAAAGGUCAGAGGUUCGAAUCCUCUAGGGCGCGCCA